GAUCUGUCAUGGAUAACCUAGUGGGAGGUUCGCUGCUAAGCACGUGACCUUGCUUCGGCUUCGGCCAGCGAGACUGGUGCCUGGUACGAAUCCCGGGGUCGUCGUUGUACUCGUGCGAGUAGUCCACGAUCGCUACAACACGCUAAGCAAUGGAGGUGACCCUUGAGGGAAGCAAUUCUGCAGAGACUCCUCCACCCUGGGAUGGCGUCGCCAGAUGACACCGUUUCGUUACAGGGAAAUGGGCUAUUUGGUGGAACGACCACAUCUU
Molecule: non-coding RNA, 268 nt
Organism: Aspergillus ruber CBS 135680
Lineage: Eukaryota; Fungi; Ascomycota; Eurotiomycetes; Eurotiales; Aspergillaceae
Rfam family: Fungal signal recognition particle RNA
Source: Rfam